UGAAUCUCAGCAGAGACUCAGCCCCUGUAGGAGGAGGCUGAGAGGUCUCCUUCAAGGAUGACACAUGCCCACAGGGCCAGCCAGCCAUUCGGAAGCCUCCACUCUUCAGAGACAUGUGUGUCUGUGCGUGGCAAUGUGAAACGUGACUAGGGCUUAGUUAACUCUCUGAAGAGCUGGAUUCUUGAUUCACGAUAACAAUAGUGACGGUAAAUAUUUGUUGAGUACUCACGAGGUGCCGAGCACCAAGUUGCUACUCAUUCAUUGUUCGCAUCCAACACCGAGGAGACAGAGGUGCUGAAAUCUGUCACAGGGGGCAAGAAGCAGGUCUGAAAUUCAAAGGAGCUGGAAUCCUCCUUCUCCCAGGAGAUUAGAUCCUUCUCAUUCUCCCCAAAGAAUGACAGGGCUGAACCAGGUGCUACGAAACUCUACUAUGUUAAAAGAGUAACCAAAGCUGUCACUCAUUAAACGUGCCCAAUGGUGGCAUCUUGAGGCCAAUGCUUCCCUCUAAACCACCAAACUGUCAUAGACCCUCAGAACCAGAGUGCCAGGUUAGGUCACAAGAAGUCAUCUUGUUCUAGACCACCCACUGGCUGUCCAUCAGAAGUCCCCCUCUCCAGAUGGCUGUCUCCUGAGGUCCUCAGCAGCUGAGUUUGGCCCACUUUGAACUAUGAUGCUACCUACACGUCACACGUGAACAUAGGCAUUACACGGAACCAUGGGCACCGUUCUUCUCUGGAAGGUGGGCCAAGGGAAAAAAGCCUAUGUCAGCUGAUUCAUCAUACUUACUAAUUGUUCCUGCGUUCUUUGGAGAUUUAGAAAGCACAGCUCUGCCAAAUCUACUGAAAAUGCUUUAUUCAAACAUGAAAAAUAGUCUUCAUUUUGCCUAUCGUUUUUCCUAUUCUGCCUGUCACAUUCUUCUGCUCCCUCAAAUCAGCUGAGGUUCUAAGCACCAAGGAGAUGAACACUAUUUGUGGAUGGGAGCCAUUUCUCCAAGGAAAUGAUUCUGCUGUCUGCCUUUGCCAUACAUAACACACACAAU
Molecule: long non-coding RNA, 1039 nt
Filed under: Homo sapiens (human)
Lineage: Eukaryota; Metazoa; Chordata; Mammalia; Primates; Hominidae
Description: HSALNT0169777
Source: RNAcentral